Molecule: ribosomal RNA, 550 nt
Filed under: uncultured Acaulospora
Lineage: Eukaryota; Fungi; Glomeromycota; Glomeromycetes; Diversisporales; Acaulosporaceae
Description: SSU rRNA
Rfam family: Eukaryotic small subunit ribosomal RNA
Source: RNAcentral
UUGGAGGGCAAGUCUGGUGCCAGCAGCCGCGGUAAUUCCAGCUCCAAUAGCGUAUAUUAAAGUUGUUGCAGUUAAAAAGCUCGUAGUUGAAUUUCGGAAUCUGUCCGUCGGUCGGGCUUCACUGUCCGUACUGGUGUGAUGGGUUUCUACCUUCUGAAUAACCGGCAUGUCAUUAAUUUGGUGUUGCAGGGAAUCAGGACUGUUACUUUGAAAAAAUUAGAGUGUUUAAAGCAGGCUUUAGCUUGAAUACAUUAGCAUGGAAUAAUGAAAUAGGACGUUUGAUCCUAUUUUGUUGGUUUCUAGGAUUGACGUAAUGAUUAAUAGGGAUAGUUGGGGGCAUUAGUAUUCAAUUGUCAGAGGUGAAAUUCUUGGAUUUAUUGAAGACUAACUUCUGCGAAAGCAUUUGCCAAGGAUGUUUUCAUUAAUCAAGAACGAAAGUUAGGGGAUCGAAGACGAUCAGAUACCGUCGUAGUCUUAACCAUAAACUAUGCCGACUAGGGAUCGGACGAUGUUAAUUUUUUAAUGACUCGUUCGGCGCCUUACGGGAAAC